AUCCAGCUGACGAGUCCCGGAUAAGACGAAACACGCGUCCUGGAU
This is a non-coding RNA of Schistosoma mansoni, 45 nucleotides long. Lineage: Eukaryota; Metazoa; Platyhelminthes; Trematoda; Strigeidida; Schistosomatidae. The record is from Rfam.